GGGUCGGUAGGUUGGUCGUGCCACCGGUACGUACUGGUCUCACUGAUUCCUCCUUCCUGAAGAACCGUAAUGCCAUUAAUUUGGUGUUGCGGGGAAACAGGACUGUUACUUUGAAAAAAUUAGAGUGUUUAAAGCAAGCUAACGCUUGAAUACAUUAGCAUGGAAUAAUGAAAUAGGACGAUCGAUCCUAUUUUGUUGGUUUCCAGGAUUGACGUA
This 216-nucleotide ribosomal RNA is filed under the name Glomeromycotina sp. Its description in RNAcentral is "partial small subunit ribosomal RNA". The stretch from base 40 to 216 matches the Rfam family "Eukaryotic small subunit ribosomal RNA", at positions 686 to 864 of the family's 1831-position model. The record is from RNAcentral. Lineage: Eukaryota; Fungi; Glomeromycota.